RNAcentral lists this small RNA (171 nucleotides) under Chrysemys picta bellii (western painted turtle). RNAcentral describes it as "TUC338 (ENSCPBG00000019012.1)". The record is from RNAcentral. Lineage: Eukaryota; Metazoa; Chordata; Testudines; Emydidae.
CUGAAGUUCUAGGAGGCUGAUGUCCUUUGUUUGUCUACAAAAUAGGCAUAGCUCAGGCUCAGUGGUGAAAGCUUCUUCCCACUGCUUUGCAAAUGUGCUUCAACCCUACCCUGGAGGGGUCACUUCUGGGAAUCAAAGAAUAAUUCAAUCUCCAUUCAGUCUUUGGGAUCU